Lycium barbarum (goji berry) is the source of this 2445-nucleotide long non-coding RNA. RefSeq lists it as uncharacterized. The record is from RefSeq and is a predicted model, not a curated record. The transcript has 3 exons. NCBI's taxonomy places the organism in Eukaryota, Viridiplantae, Streptophyta, Magnoliopsida, Solanales, Solanaceae.
AACCUAAGUGGAGCUGAAAAAAGUUGGGAAAGAAAAACAACCGGGAGACUUAGGCGCCAUUUAUUUUAGCCAAAAGAAUAAUAGAGCACUUUUAACCUAGCCAAAUGGAAUGCUCAUUCAUUCGGAGGACAGAGAAUGAGGACUACGAACAGAGAAUAACAAUAAGAAUCACAGGCAAAAUUCUUAUAUUAUGUGCUGCUCUCUUCUCAACGGCGCCACUUCAAUCACAGGCAAAAUUCUCAACGGCGCCACUUCAAUCACGAACAGAGGAAAGCUAAGAGACAUGAAUUAGUUUGAGAAUACAGGGCAGAAGAUACCCAAUUUGUGGAAUUGGAAGCAACAGUGAACACAAAGCAAAAAAAUUGACUUUGCAAUUUCAAAGUGGAGACAAAGUUAGGGUUUUUUCUAUAUUCUUGAAGAGAUUAAAAAGCUUUUAUGUGGAGCUUGACGACGUCUUUUUUAACGUUACCCUUCCUUCUCAGAAUUUACAGUCCAGUCAGUAAUUAUGCAAAUUUUGUGGAUAGUGGGCAUACUUUCAUACUCUGCUUGGUUCCUGGCAACACGCAAAGGUGCGAUGCGAAAUUAGGAUUUUUGUAUGCUUUCUACGGCUCUUCUCUCUCGGAUUUAUGUGUGAUGUUGCUGUCAAUUGUAUUUUGUUGUUCUAGCAGGUAAGUUAUCUGGUCAUGAUGUCUGGUCAUAUUGAAAAACUCAACACUAAGAAAUUCUUUUACUCUCUUCAAGAAAGACUCGAAAGGGUUCAAUGGUUUUAGAGAAUACAAUCUUCAACUAGUCUUUUCACCAUACAAAACAAGUUAUGAAUUAGAUGAAGUCUACGUAAAGCUUACUGUUUACAUUCCUUCCGCAUCAGAGAAAAGCUUUGAGGACUACUACAUGAAUACUACAUAUGCUCUAGAGGGCCGAAUGUAACUGUAAAAGACAGACCUAUGGGCAGAGAAGGAAUGAAAAUGAAGACCAAAGUCUUACUAAUGGGAUUCAAAAAUGUUAAAUAUUGUAUCUACUGAAAGUAAUCUAGGAUGUAUGUACAGGUGAAGACAGUUGUGUUUCUUUUUUGCUGAAUAUUUUUGUUGAUUUCAUUUCAAGGUGUGAAACUUUAGGUGCCGUUUGGCCAUAAAAAUUAUUCAGGUAGUCUUUGACUUUUUUUUAGUAAAAGUUGUUUAGUAAUAAACUUCAAUCUCAUUAUGCAGUAAUUAGCUAAUCACAGUGAUGCUAUAUGAAUAUUACUCUUCUAAGAAUUGGAAUUUUAGGAAUUCACUCUACAACUAAACAUAGUCAGCAUAAUAGUUAAGAUAUCUAACUGUGUUAUUAAUUAGUCCAUGAAGUAUAAAUUUUGUUGCAACUUGUAGUUACUUAAUUUGCAAAUUGUGGUUGCUUAAUUUUCAGCAUCCGCUAGAGUUCUUGCCUUCACUACUGCUAUUGUUGUUGUGUUGUUGCUGAAAAACAAAGACCAGAACAGUUUUGUCGUCGCCAGUUGUGGUUCCCUUCUUUAUCUCUCUUUUUCCACAUAAUUCUAUUUAUUUUUCUUUUGAAAUCUAUGAUUGAAUUGGUUUGGUUUUUUCAUAAUGAACUGGUUUUUUCAUAGUGCUUGAGUCAGACGUGGAACUCAAAGCCCAAGUGUGUAACCUCAUCAAGUUGCCCUGUUCUCUACCCCCGAGCCCCGAUCAUGAUGAUGGAGAGGAUGAGGAGGAUCAGGAGCAUGGAGAUGAUGAGGAUCAGGAGAAUAGAGAGUAUGGAGAGACUGAAAUGGAGUAUUAGAGGUCAGUUGUUAUUUUUGUUUGACCAUUUGGUGAACAGAUGCUAUGUGUGCCAAAAAGAGUCAAGAGUCAGUCGACAUAUUUUUUUUGCAUUGCCCUGUUGCAGCAGAUCUCUAGCACAUGUUUACAAAAAAUUUUGGAAUCAGUUGGACAAUCCCAUAUAGCUUAAAAGGAGCAGUUGAAAGUUGGAGCUUAUGGAAAGUGAACAAAACCAUCAACAAGAUCUGGUAAAUGAUACCUGCAUGUGUUUUUUGGUGUUUAUGGACAGAGAAGGAACAACAGAUCUUUGAUGGGACUUCAACUCCUAAUUGUUCUCUAAAAUCAAAGUGUUUAGUUAACCUUUUUAGUUGGAGAAAUCUAUCCCCUGUGAAUGAUAUUAUCCCCCUUUUAGAUUUCAUUGGCUCCCACUCAGUGGCUUAGUAGCCUUGAGUCUUUUGCUCAUGGUUUUAAACUCCCAGCUCUUACUAGUUUUAUUUUGCAGUGUCUGGAGUUUUUAGCCUUUUCUUUGUAAAGUUUGCAUUUGCUUGAUGCUUUUGAAUAUGAAUAUAACAACUUAGUUCACCAAAAUUUUUUUUUGUUAUUUUUGUUCCAACUUAUGUUACUUUGGCUUGUUUGAAGUCUAGUGGGAUGCUUGUGAUAUAUUUUUGCAUAACGUCGAAGUUGGUUAGAUUCG